CCUACGGGAGGCAGCAGUGAGGAAUAUUGGACAAUGGUCGGAAGACUGAUCCAGCCAUGCCGCGUGCAGGAUGACGGCCUUAUGGGUUGUAAACUGCUUUUGUAAGGGAAGAAUAAGAGCUACGCGUAGUUUGAUGACGGUACCUUACGAAUAAGCAUCGGCUAACUCCGUGCCAGCAGCCGCGGUAAUACGGAGGAUGCGAGCGUUAUCCGGAAUCAUUGGGUUUAAAGGGUCCGUAGGCGGGCUAAUAAGUCAGGGGUGAAAUCGUUCAGCUCAACUGAGCAACUGCCUUUGAAACUGUUAGUCUUGAAUAGUUGUGAAGUAGUUGGAAUGUGUAGUGUAGCGGUGAAAUGCUUAGAGAUUACACAGAACACCGAUAGCGAAGGCAUAUUACUAACAAUUGAUUGACGCUGAUGGACGAAAGCGUGGGGAGCGAACAGGAUUAGAUACCCUUGUAGUC
Molecule: ribosomal RNA, 460 nt
Filed under: uncultured Capnocytophaga sp.
Lineage: Bacteria; Pseudomonadati; Bacteroidota; Flavobacteriia; Flavobacteriales; Flavobacteriaceae
Description: bacterial SSU rRNA
Rfam family: Bacterial small subunit ribosomal RNA
Source: RNAcentral